UACAGAUAAAUAUUUUUCUUAAGCAGACUUCCUUGCACCUGAUUUUUAAUAAAUAUUUUAUUUUUAUUUUUUUUUAUUAAUAAGAUUGUUUCCAUAAAUGGACCUUAUCAGGUCUUGUUCUUCUAUGGAGAGGGAGGUGCUGGCUGUAUAUAAAUAGAGCAAUGAAGUAUAAUUUGCGAAACAGAGCAAAACAAGAGCCAUGGCAAGAUUCAUCUUGGAGAAUCUAGCCUUGCAUAUUUCCCUUGUUGUAUUCAUUCUAUUACAUUCCUCACUUAGCGUUGCUUCUGACUCUACUCAAGAAGCUAAUGCUCUUCUCAAGUGGGCAGCCACCCUUCACAACUUUAAAGAUUCUAACAUAUCAUUAAAAUGGCAUCACCAUCCUAAAAAUGCCACCAAUUCUGAUCCAAGAACAAACCUCUGCAAUUGGCUUGGAAUUUCUUGCAACGCAGAAGGAAGGGUCGAGACACUAAAUCUCACAAACGCAAGUUUAAAUGGGACACUCCAGGAGCUUUCCUUCUCUUCCUUUCCUGAUCUUGCUAAUAUAAAUCUUAGCGUGAAUCUACUCUAUGGCACCAUCCCACUUGGAAUCACUCAACUUUCCAAACUCGUUUAUCUUGAUUUGGCAUAUAAUCUCUUGUCUGGGAGCAUCCCUCCGCAGAUUGGCCUCCUAACAAACCUCCAUACCCGGCACCUUGCUUCAAAU
RNAcentral lists this unclassified non-coding RNA (703 nucleotides) under Hevea brasiliensis (rubber tree). Lineage: Eukaryota; Viridiplantae; Streptophyta; Magnoliopsida; Malpighiales; Euphorbiaceae. The record is from RNAcentral.